CCUCCGGAAGAGUAUGCUUCUUACUGAGUUCCUGUUCCAGAAGAACAGAAAUGCUCUUUCUGCGUUGAGUUUGACUGCACACUCGGAGGAGAAAUCAGAAGCUUAGAGAAACACCAAGAAUCCCUCUGUGCUCUGUUCCAGCCUGUCCAAGGUUCUGACAUCUCAUAAGCUAGAGAGAGGAAGAGAGAGAGACAGAGAGCUGGACUGGAAGAGGAGCAACCGGGACAGAAUACAGCGCCCCAACCGGGACUAGAACCUGCAGUGCCGGCACGCAGGCGGAGGCUUAGCCUAGUGAGCGGAACCGCUGGGCUGUCACUCACUUCAUUGAUGCUGUUGCUGCUUCCGGUGCUGCUGUGCUUACUGGGAGGAAGAGGCGGGUCCUAGAUGGAGGGCGCUUGCGCACUCGGUCUGGUGGAGAUGGAGAGGAUGUAUCCCGCGGUGGCGGCGUGUUGUCGGCUGCUGUAAUUGUCAGCUUCCGGAGGCGUUUUCGGCAGCGGUACUGGCCCGGAGAGUGCGGGAGUGAAGAAAAGGUUACCUACCUGGAGCACACCGCAGAUCAACACAGGCCUGCUAUCCAAGCCUGGAGCCAAGAGAGCUGUCACCCACUUUUUUGAGGCUGCCUGGCCACUUCCGGUGCUGCUGUGCUUACUGGGAGGAAGAGGCGGGUCCUAGAUGGAGGGCGCUUGCGCAGUCGUUCUGUUGGAGAUGGAGAGGAUGUAUCCUGCGGUGGCGGCGUGUUGUCGGCUGCUGAAAUUGUCGGCUUCCGGAGGCGUUUUCGGCAGCGGUACUGGCCCGGAGAGUGCGGGAGUGAAGACAUUUUCAUGGAUAUGAAACUGGACACCGAGUUGACACAGAAGUUCAGCUGCUGGGUUUGGCGGCAGUGAGGGUGGGCAGCAGCUCAGCCAUGAGGAAGCCAGAAGUGGAUGUCUGCCUCCCCUCCUCCAUCCCAGAGGAAAAGGAUGUGAAACUAACCCAGAGUGGACGCUGAAGCUCAUCUUCCAAGCAGUCUUCAAUUUCCAGAGACUGCACGGCUUCCUGCCCAACCCCAGCUGGGCCUUCUUCCGGAGAGGAGCAACUGGUGACAGCACUGUCCAUCGUGCCCUCACAGCUAUAUUGCCAAGCAGCCAUUUGGAAGCAAGUCUUCCCACUACACCAGCCUGGCACAUUGUGUGUCCUCCAGAGGUACCAUAGACUGGCAGUGUAUCAAAUGGAGCCUGGCUAGCUGGACAGCAGUGACCAGUGAGACGUGACGAGACCUCAGAAGGAGAGUAUAUGUGUGGACUUAACCUCAGGCUCCUCUGCACCCUAGAUUUACUGCAAACACACAGGGACUGACCUGUAGGAAGAGAGUCUUGCUGAAAUCCUGAACCUGCGCUUGCACCUAUAGAGCAUCUAUAGCAGCUUUCAGCCUGGAUGCCUGUCACCAAGUCUUGGGCAAUGAGUGGAGCCACCUGGCUGUGGAGCUCAGCGUUGUGGACAGCUGGAGCAGAGUAUUUAGGUGAACAAUUGUGACUGGAGUUCUGGAGCUCCAGUCGAAUGGUGGUACUGGGAAAGUCAGCCUCAGCCCUUCCUCCAUUAACCAGAGCUUCCCCACUAGCCCUGGAAAGAAGCAGCUGCUCUUGACAGGAAAUGAAGACUUAAUGUGUAGUGUGGAUGGUCCCUGAUGUUCUCUGCUGUAUUUGUUAUGAUUUCUUGGAAAGACUUGAGUCUUUAAGAUACUCAGCAACAAAGAAACAAACAGCCCGGUUAAGAAAUGGGCAAAGGACUUGAAUAAGCAGUUUGCAAAAGACAGAAUCCAAAUGACCGACAGAGACAUGAAAAAGUGUUCAGGACCACUAGCCAUCAGGGGAAUGGAAACCAAAAUCAUGAGGUUUUACCUUGCUCCCCAGUUAGAAUGGCUUUCAUUCAGAAAUCAACAAGCCAACAGCUGAUGAGGAUGUGGGGAAAUAAAGUACCCUAAUCCACUGUUGUUGUGAAUGUAAACUGGUACAGCCACUGUGGAAGAUAGCAUGGAGAUUCCUCAGAAAUCGGAAUAUAUAGACUUAGUAAAUGAACCAGACAUCCCACUGCUGGGAAUUUACCGAAUGGAAAUGAAAUCAGCAUAUGAAAGUGUUACCUGUACCCCCAUGUUGAUCACAGCUCAAUUCACAAUAGCAAGAUAUGGAACCUACCCAAAUGUCCAUUAACUGAGGAACAAAGAAAUUAUAUGUACACUGGGGAAUAUUACACCAUUAAAAAAAAAAAACGAAAUCAAUGCUUUCAUUUGCAACCAUAUGCAAGCAAUUGGAUGCUUUGUGAAAUAAGCCAGUCUCAGAAAGACAAAUACCAUCUGGUCUCCCUGAUCUUUGGUGCCUAAAAGAGUACCUAAAAUGUAUAGAAGUGAAAUUGAAACUUUGAAAUGUGAUGACUGUGCUUGUUUCAUCUGCUGAGAGACAGAUGUUUUCCAUACUCUCUGUUCAACUCUUUACUUAGUGCAGGACUAAUUUUAAGUGUUUGAAGUUCAUUGAAAAUAGAUCUUAGUGAAAAAAAUAAGAAUGGGAAUAGGAGAGGGAAGAGAAAGAAGGGUGGAAGUUUGGGUGGGGAGAGGGUAGGAUGGAAAGAAUCACUGUGUUCCUCAAUAUGUAUAUAUAAAAUGCAGGAUGUUUGUAUACCUUCAAUAAAAGGUUUCCAGGGAAAGAAAAAAUCCCCCAAACCCCGAGUCGUACCGUUAGGAUUGACUGUCGAGGAACAGCUUACUAUUUUAUUCUUUUUAGUAUUUUCUUUUUCUACUCAAUACCUUUGGUUGAACUCUUUAAUUAACACAGAAUUAUUCUUAGGUGUUUAAAUCCAACUGAAAAUUGAUCCCUGUUAAAAAUAAGAGUUGGAGUAAGAGAGGGAGGAGGUAUGCAGUUCAGUACAUGCUAACUGAUCAUAAAGAUAGGAUUAAGAGUCAAAGGAAUCACAUAAAUAAGAAGAGUGUAUGCUAAUAAUAAUUGAUAGAAUUAAAAAUGAGAAAACAGUCCAACAUGGGAAGCAGGAUACACAGAAGACUAAUAGAAGGACAAAUGGCCAUAAACAGCACUCUGGCCUCAGAAUUAGCCCUUGAAAGACAUUGGGAUCUGGCUACAAAGCCCGUGAGAGUUUUUCAGGCAUGGAAAGCCAAGACACUGUGGCAAAAAUUGACCUAAAUGAACGACAUCUGUGAGUGAGAUCCUGAUAGAAAGAAGGGGCCAUCAAAGAGGGGGGUACUUUUCUCGGAAGGAGGGGAGAGAACCUGUCUACUUUGAUUAUGGCCUUGUCAAACAAGGUUGCAGUUUGUGAACUCAAGAGGCUUCCAUAGCCUUGGCAGCUCAUGACAAGAGCCUUGGGUGAUUACUUAGGUCAUAAAUAAGAAUGUCAAUUGUUAAAUCAACAACAGGAGUCACUUUGCACUUGCUUCCCAUGUAGGACCUCUAUCCUUAAUGUGUUGUAUUAUGAGAAUGAUUGUAAAACUAGUCUUCAAACAGUACUUUAUACUUUGUGUGUCUGUGUGGGUGCAAACUGUUAAAAUCUGUACUUAGUAAAUAGAGUUGAUCUUCUGUAUAUAAAGAUAAUUAAAAAUGAAUCUUAAUGAAGAAUGGGAUGGA
Lepus europaeus (European hare) is the source of this 3605-nucleotide long non-coding RNA. RefSeq lists it as uncharacterized. The record is from RefSeq and is a predicted model, not a curated record. NCBI's taxonomy places the organism in Eukaryota, Metazoa, Chordata, Mammalia, Lagomorpha, Leporidae. The transcript is spliced from 10 exons.